This is an RNA transcript of Saimiri boliviensis boliviensis (Bolivian squirrel monkey), 691 nucleotides long. RefSeq lists it as uncharacterized. The record is from RefSeq and is a predicted model, not a curated record. Lineage: Eukaryota; Metazoa; Chordata; Mammalia; Primates; Cebidae.
AUGCUCAGGUUGGGGAGGGAACAAGACCCCCUGGGGAAGGGACUCCUCCCAGCUGAGGAGUUGAUUAGAAGCAACCUUGGAGUUGGCAGGAGCCUCAGAGAUUGCCUGAGUUAGUCCAAGAAACAGGCUGAGGGAGCUUGGGAGCAAGAGACUAAAACCAGCCAAGUUUGGGACAGAAGGGAAGGAAAGGGUUGAGCAGUGAACAGAAAGACAAAGAACAGGCAGUUCCAAAGAGCCAAGAAUGCAAAUCAUUUGCAGACGCCGCCGGCGAGCUGCUGUGGGGGUGCCUGACACUGUGGGCACAGCCACUUCUACACGUCACGGCAUAUGAGAAUACAGGCCACUGGGAGAGAUUCACAUCUGUGGUUUCUUCAAAAACACUGCAGCCCACAGUGAUCUCUAAUUUUUCCAUUUCUAUCACAUUUAGGUCUCCCCUUGGUCAUUACCCUCCAGCCACACCAGACUCCUUUCUUGUCCUGGAACCUAUCAGACUCUUUCCUGUCUCAAGCCUCUGCUGUCCUCUCUGCUUAAACAGUGGCUCCUGCAGAGAAGGCAUCAGAAUUUCCCAGGAGCUGAUUAGAAAUGCACAUUCUCCAGCCCCUCCCAGACCUCCUGAAUCAGAAUCCCUGGGGUGGGCCCAGCAAGCCCGCUCUCUAGGGCACAGGUGAUUCUGAUGUGUGCUGAAGUUUAA